Molecule: long non-coding RNA, 5536 nt
Organism: Eriocheir sinensis (Chinese mitten crab)
Lineage: Eukaryota; Metazoa; Arthropoda; Malacostraca; Decapoda; Varunidae
Exons: 3
Source: RefSeq, a predicted model, not a curated record
GGUUUCCCUGAAGAUGAGCGGCGGCUUCACGGGGUUGGAUUUGCCAUCAAAACUUCUCUCCUAAGCCAAAUUUCAGACUCGCCAUUUGGAAUUAGUGAACGACUCAUGACAUGGCGCAUACCCCUGAGUGAAGGGAGACACGUUACCAUCAUCAGUGAAUAUGCCCCUACUUUUGUCGCAAGUGAACGAGAGAAGGAUAACUUCUACAGCUCCUUGGAAGUAUGGCUGCAAGAAAUUCAACGCAACGAUAGAGUUCUCUUACUGGGCGACUUUAAUGCUAGAGUUGGCUGUGAACAUAACAUCUGGCCUGAUAUUCUUGGCAAGCAUGGGGUUGGAAAAGUCAACAACAAUAGCCUUAGGCUUCUCACUCUUUGCUCUGAAAAUCUACUAAACAUCACAAAUACAAAUUUCCACCUUAAAACAAAACAUAAAACAACAUGGCAGCAUCCUCGAUCGGGUCACCGGCAUCAACUGGACCACGUAAUAGUACGUCAGUCAGACAGAAAAGAGGUUCUAAUAACAAAAGUCAUGAGAGGGGCGGAGUGCUGGACAGACCAUCGUCUACUUCGCUGCAAGAUCAGACUGGACAUACAACCUCAGCAACGACGCCACCCACCUAUCAGAAAAUUGAACAUUCAAGCCCUGGAAGACCCUGAAACCUGCACAUCCUUCAGAGGCUGAGCUCCUUGCUGAGACCCAAGAUGACUAUGACAUUGAGGCCAAAUGGCAACACCUUCAAUCUGAUCUAUCCCAAGCUGCAGCAGACAUCAUUGGACACACAAAGACCUGGACUGGUUUGAUCGGAAUGCUCCUGGUAUUCAUCAACUUCUAGAGAAGAAAAAGAAAGCUCAUGAUGCAUAUCUCAACCAUCCCCAGUCUGUAGCACUUAAGUCUGAGCUCACAAACAUUAGAGCUGAAGUGCAAAGAGAGCUGAGAAGCAUGGAAAACAGAUGGUGGCAAGCCGGAGCUCUUGAACUCCAAUGCUUGCUGAUGCCAAUACACACACGGCUUUUACAAUACAGCAAAAAAAUAUUCGGACCAAGAAAACACAACACCCAUCCAGUUAGAUCAGCAGAUGGAAACAGUCUCUACCAAAACAACGACCAAAUCAUCUCUAGAUGUCCAGCGCAUUUCAGCAAUCUGCUUAACCAAGCAAACCCCACCCUGCCUCACAUACUGGAUACCUCCCUCCCUUGGAAACACUGGAUACAACCCCAGCCCUAAGUGAAGUUCUCACUGCCAUCAGAGGCUUAAAACAACAAAAGUCCCGGACCCGAUGGUAUUCCAGCAGAAAUCUUUAAAAGGGGAGGCUACCUCCUAAAGGUACGUAUAUACGAGUUAAUAUGCCAAAUAUGGACAGCUGGAAAGGUACCCCAAAUGCUGAAGAAUGCUAACAUUGUAACCAUCUUCAAGAAAAAAUGCAAGCCCGCGUCCAGGUCUGCGGCUCACUAUCUGAACCCCUUGAUGUGAAGGUGGGAGUAAAACAAGGAAGUGUGCUCGCCCCUGUUCUCUUCAACAUUUAUCUGCUAGCGUUGACCCAGUUGGCCCAGGCUGCCCUUGGGAGAGAUGCUGGUGUCACCAUACAGUAGCGACUUGAUAGCAGCCUCUCUAACAUCCGCCGCUUCCAGAGCCAAGGCCUCCGCCACCCAAAUAAUAGAAUUACAGUAUGCUGAUGACUGUGCCAUUGUUGCACAUGAUGCUGUAUCACUUCAAGCUAUUUCUGAUACUGUCUCAUCUGCCUGCUCUGCAUUGGGUUUAAAAAUCAAUUCACAGAAAACAGAAAUCAUAGCACAGUGUACACUAAUUCACGUAACUUAACCACCGUAACUAAUAAAAUAAACAUUAAUAACACUUUAAUAAACCAAUAAAUCCUCAUAAAUUCAAUAAUAAAGCCAAAAAAAACAUCAUAGCAGUGGGAAUUUUACUAUUAAAUCAAUAAUACACUAAUUCACGUAACUUAACCACCGUAACUAAUAAAAUAAACAUUAACAACACUUUAAUAAACCAACAAAUUCCAUAAAUUUAAUAAUAAAGCAAAAAAACUGAUUAUUCCUCCCGGAUUUAACAGUCUUGGCCGUAAUGGCGGGAGUGUGGUUCAGAAGACAGAUAAAGUCUAAUAUUUCCGCCAAUUACAGCCAUAUUAGCCCCCGGGGGAGGACUGUUUAACCACCGGGGAAGGGAGGAAAGCCCCAGGGUGAAGGGUGAGUAUGAAUAAAGGGAGAAAUAGGUAAAAUUAGGGCGUGAGGAGGAGAAAACUGAGGGAUGCUGUGUGCUGUCCCUCCCCGGCACUAGCUAAAAAGGUUUAUAUUUUUUUCUUUCUCUCCUCGCUGCCUCGUCUCUGUCCCUCCCAGGCUGAGGCGCAGACAGGUGAAGGGUAAAGGCACAGGCAGCGUAAUAAAGACACCCACUGAGACGCUUCUGAAGGGAGAAAACACUUUGGUUUCUCACAUCAGUUAUUUCUAAAGGUCAAAGAGGGGGUCAGCCGGGUUCUAAUGAGUGUUUCUUUAGGUUCACGGUACAGAGGAAGGGUCACACUACCAUCAGGGUCAUAAAACUACUCCUGGAAAUGCCCAGAACUCCUAGGAAAACCUUGUCAAAUGUGUGUUUCUUAGGUUCACGGUACAGAGGAAGGGUCACACUACCAUCAGGGUCAUAAAACUACUCCUGGAAAUGCCCACAACUCCUAGGAAAGCCUUGUCAAAUGUGUGUUUCUUAGGUUCAUGGUACAGAGGAAGGGUCAAACUACCAUCAGGGUCAUAAAACUACUCCUGGAAAUGCCCAGAACUCCUAGGAAAGCCUUGUCAAAUGUGUGUUUCUUAGGUUCAUGGUACAGAGGAAGGGUCACACUACCAUCAGGGUCAUAAAACUACUCCUGGAAAUGCCCCCCACAACUCCUAGGAAAGCCUUGUCAAAUGUGUGUUUCUUAAGUUCACAGUACAGAGGAAGGGUCAAACUACCAUCAGGGUCAUAAAACUAUUACUGAAAAUGCCCACAACUCCUAGGAAAGCCUUGUCAAAUGUGUGUUUCUUAGGUUCAUGGUACAGAGGAAGGGUCAAAUUACCAUCAGGGUCAUAAAACUACUCCUGGAAAUGCCCCCCACAACUCCUAGGAAAGCCUUGUCAAAUGUGUGUUUCUUAAGUUCACAGUACAGAGGAAGGGUCAAACUACCAUCAGGGUCAUAAAACUAUUACUGAAAAUGCCCACAACUCCUAGGAAAGCCUUGUCAAAUGUGUGUUUCUUAGGUUCACGGUACAGAGGAAGGGUCACACUACCAUCAGGGUCAUAAAACUUCUACUGAAAAUGCCCACAACUCCUAGGAAAGCCUUGUCAAAUGUGUGUUUCUUAGGUUCAUGGUACAGAGGAAGGGUCACACUACCAUCAGGGUCAUAAAACUUCUACUGAAAAUGCCCACAACUCCUACGAAAGCCUUGUCAAAUGUGUGUUUCUUAGGUUCACGGUACAGCGGAAGGGUCAAACUACCAUCAGGGUCAUAAAACUAUUACUGAAAAUGCCCACAACUCCUUGGAAAGCCUUGUCAAAUGUGUGUUUCUUAGGUUCACGGUACAGAGGAAGGGUCACACUACCAUCAGGGUCAUAAAACUUCCACUGAAAAUGCCCACAAUUCCUACGAAAGCCUUGUCAAAUGUGUGUUUCUUAGGUUCACGGUACAGAGGAAGGGUCAAACUACCACCAGGGUCAUAAAACUACUCCUGGAAAUGCCCACAACUCCUUGGAAAGCCUUGUCAAAUGUGCGUUUCUUAGGUUCACGGUACAGAGGAAGGGUCAAACUACCAUCAGGGUCAUAAAACUACUCCUGGAAAUGCCCACAACUCCUAGGAAAGCCUUGUCAAAUGUGCGUUUCUUAGGUUCACAGUACAGAGGAAGGGUCACACUAACACCAGGGUCAUAAAACUACUACUGGAAAUGCCCACAACUCCUAGGAAAGCCUUGUCAAAUGUGUGUUUCUUGGGUUCACGGUACAGAGGAAGGGUCAAACUACCAUCAGGGUCAUAAAACUACUACUGAAAAUGCCCACAACUCCUAGGAAAGCCUUGUCAAAUGUGUGUUUCUUAGGUUCACGGUACAGAGGAAGGGUCACACUACCACCAGGGUCAUAAAACUACUCCUGGAAAUGCCCACAACUCCUAGGAAAGCCUUGUCAAAUGUGUGUUUCUUAGGUUCACAGUACAGAGGAAGGGUCACACUACCACCAGGGUCAUAAAACUACUCCUGGAAAUGCCCACAACUCCUAGGAAAGCCUUGUCAAGUAGAUGUUCUUGGGAGGCGAAAAGUCUUAUGAUACUAACCAUCUUGUCGGUAUUAUAAGACACCCUCGCUUCUCACAUCACAUCUAAAGGUCAAAGAAGGGGUCAGUCGGGUUCUAAUGAGUGUUUCUUUAGGUUCACGGUACAGAGGAGGGGUCAAACUACUCACAGUAACUAGCUCAAGCCUGUGUAUAUAUCUAACUCUCUGUCUGUCUGUCUGUCUAUCUAUCUAUUUAUACCAUCAGGGUCAUAAAACUACUCCUGGAAAUGCCCACAACUCCUAGGAAAGCCUUGUCAAAUAGGUGUUCUUGGGUGGCAAAAUGUCUUAUGAUAGGACCCUAUAUGAGUGGCUGCGUGCGACAAGGGGCCAAGCGCCAACCACCGUGAAAUUGAGUUAAUAGUGUAUUCAGUUCUAUAAUUUCCCCUUCUUCUUAGAAACAACAGUAAUAUGAUCGUAGCUCUGCUGUGCGUGCAGCAAACGUUGAUUAAUCACAGUAGUGUGAAGCUCAUCAACCAUGUCAUUGCCGUCACCGUCUCAUUCAGUAAAUAUCACACGUUUGCAGAGGCAGUUGUUGAUAAUCGUGGUUGAUUCUAACACAAAACAUUAGUAUACAAUAUUGUUACCAAAAAAUUAUCAUCAGAUACAUGAAAGUUUCUUUAACUGGCAGUAUAAAGGAACUUUAUUGAAGGGACUUUGAUACGUAAGGUUUCUCUAUCAAUACGUGCCUCACCAGCCGGCCCAAACUUUCGUACCGCAUUGCUGGCACCAAGGCCAAGGUCGCAGCUGAUGAUUGAAUGAGACAUGUUUCUAUAUUACAUGCCAUAGCUAACCUCAUGUACGAGAUAGUCAGUUUCGGUUGACACCAUCAGACUCAGCAGUAACUGUAGAAUCAAGAUGUAGUGUAAAAACAUGAUAAAACAAAAUAGAAAAUGGUUUUACGAUGAGUUGAACUGUGACGAUGUUAAAAAAUGUUUAUAAUAUGUUUUACUUUUGCUCGCUUUACUCGAAAGUUGUUUCAUUGACAGCUGAAAUUUACUUUGCAAUUCGUAGGAAAAUCUCUCAUGAACACGAUAGUGUCCUUAAAAUGCAGAUAAAUAUCCACAUAUUGAAAACACAGAGACAUUUAUACGAGCAUUUCACUCGCCGGCCCCGGCAAACAUGGCGCGCGGCGGCGAUGGUCGGGGUGGGGAAGUGGCCUUGGAAAGGCCUUGCCUUGGCGGGGGGUUGGGGGGGGUUGGGGGGGGGGAGACGGGGAAGCACCAAUACGUUG